AGUGGCGGACGGGUGAGUAACACGUAAGAAUUUGCCUUUAGGAGGGGGACAACAGCUGGAAACGGCUGCUAGUACCCCAUAUGCUUUCGAGUGAAAUGGAUUUCCGCCUGAAGAGAAGCUUGCGGCUGAUUAGCUUGUUGGUGAGGUAAUGGCUCACCAAGGCGACGAUCAGUAUCUGGUUUGAGAGGACGAUCAGACACACUGGAACUGAGACACGGUCCAGACUCCUACGGGAGGCAGCAGUGGGGAAUUUUCCGCAAUGGGCGAAAGCCUGACGGAGCAAUACCGCGUGAGGGAUGAAGGCCUAUGGGUUGUAAACCUCUUUUUUCAGGGAGGAACAAAAUGACGUGUACCUGAAGAAUAAGCAUCGGCUAACUCCGUGCCAGCAGCCGCGGUAAGACGGGGGAUGCAAGUGUUAUCCGGAAUCACUGGGCGUAAAGCGUCUGUAGGUGGUUAAGUAAGUCAACUUGUUAAAUCUUGAGGCUCAACCUCAAAAUCGCAGUCGAAACUGCUUGACUAGAGUAUAGUAGGGGUAAAGGGAAUUUCCAGUGGAGCGGUGAAAUGCGUAGAUAUUGGAAAGAACACCGAUGGCGAAGGCACUUUACUGGGCUAUCACUAACACUGAGAGACGAAAGCUAGGGUAGCAAAUGGGAUUAGAUACCCCAGUAGUCCUAGCUGUAAACAAUGGAUACUAGAUGUU
RNAcentral lists this ribosomal RNA (700 nucleotides) under uncultured bacterium. RNAcentral's name for it is "bacterial SSU rRNA". It matches the Rfam family "Bacterial small subunit ribosomal RNA", at positions 94 to 824 of the family's 1533-position model. The record is from RNAcentral.